GAUGAACGCUGGCGGCGUGCCUAAUACAUGCGAGUCGAGCGAACAGACGAGGAGCUUGCUCCUCUGACGUUAGCGGCGGACGGGUGAGUAACACGUGGAUAACCUACCUAUAAGACUGGGAUAACUUCGGGAAACCGGAGCUAAUACCGGAUAAUAUAUUGAACCGCAUGGUUCAAUAGUGAAAGACGGUUUUGCUGUCACUUAUAGAUGGAUCCGCGCCGCAUUAGCUAGUUGGUAAGGUAACGGCUUACCAAGGCAACGAUGCGUAGCCGACCUGAGAGGGUGACAGGCCACACGGGAACUGGGACACGGUCCAGACUCCUACGGGAGGCAGCAGCAGGGAAUCUGCCGUCAUGGGUGCAAGCCUGACGCAGCAAUGCGGAGUGCGGGAUGAAGGUCUUCGGAUCGUAAAACUCUGUUAUUAGGGAAGAACAAAUGUGUAAGUACCUAUGCACGUCCUGACGGUACCUAAUCAGAAAGCCACGGAUAACUUCGUG
RNAcentral lists this ribosomal RNA (497 nucleotides) under uncultured bacterium. Its description in RNAcentral is "partial 16S ribosomal RNA". It matches the Rfam family "Bacterial small subunit ribosomal RNA", at positions 28 to 507 of the family's 1533-position model. The record is from RNAcentral.